This 1129-nucleotide ribosomal RNA is filed under the name 'Catharanthus roseus' little leaf disease phytoplasma. RNAcentral's name for it is "bacterial SSU rRNA". It matches the Rfam family "Bacterial small subunit ribosomal RNA", at positions 211 to 1347 of the family's 1533-position model. The record is from RNAcentral. Lineage: Bacteria; Bacillati; Mycoplasmatota; Mollicutes; Acholeplasmatales; Acholeplasmataceae.
AGGUAUGCUUUAGGAGGGGCUUGCGCCAUAUUAGUUAGUUGGUAGGGUAAUGGCCUACCAAGACGAUGAUGUGUAGCUGGACUGAGAGGUUGAACAGCCACAUUGGGACUGAGACACGGCCCAAACUCCUACGGGAGGCAGCAGUAGGGAAUUUUCGGCAAUGGAGGAAACUCUGACCGAGCAACGCCGCGUGAAUGACGAAGUACUUCGGUAUGUAAAGUUCUUUUAUCAAGGAAGAAAAGCAAAUGGCGAACCAUUUGUUUGCCGGUACUUGAUGAAUAAGCCCCGGCUAAUUAUGUGCCAGCAGCCGCGGUAAGACAUAAGGGGCAAGUGUUAUCCGGAAUUAUUGGGCGUAAAGGGUGCGUAGGCGGUCUAGUAAGUCAGUGGUGUAAUGGCAACGCUUAACGUUGUCCGGCUAUUGAAACUGCUAAACUUGAGUUAGAUAGAGGCGAGUGGAAUUCCAUGUGUAGCGGUAAAAUGCGUAAAUAUAUGGAGGAACACCAGAGGCGUAGGCGGCUCGCUGGGUCUUAACUGACGCUGAGGCACGAAAGCGUGGGGAGCAAACAGGAUUAGAUACCCUGGUAGUCCACGCCGUAAACGAUGAGUACUAAGUGUCGGGUUAAACCGGUACUGAAGUUAACACAUUAAGUACUCCGCCUGAGUAGUACGUACGCAAGUAUGAAACUUAAAGGAAUUGACGGGACUCCGCACAAGCGGUGGAUCAUGUUGUUUAAUUCGAAGAUACCCGAAAAACCUUACCAGGUCUUGACAUGUUUUUGCAAAAUGAUAGUAAUAUCGUGGAGGUUACCAGAAACACAGGUGGUGCAUGGUUGUCGUCAGCUCGUGUCGUGAGAUGUUAGGUUAAGUCCUAAAACGAGCGAAACCCUUAUCGUUAGUUGCCAGCACGUUAUGGUGGGGACUUUAACGAGACUGCCAAUGAUAAAUUGGAGGAAGGUGAGGAUCACGUCAAAUCAGCAUGCCCCUUAUGACCUGGGCUACAAACGUGAUACAAUGGCUGUUACAAAGGGUAGCUGAAACGCAAGUUCUUGGCCAAUCCCCAAAAACAGUCCCAGUCCGGAUUGAAGUCUGCAACUCGACUUCAUGAAGUUGGAAUCGCUAGUAAUCGCGA